RNAcentral lists this ribosomal RNA (3005 nucleotides) under Salmonella enterica subsp. enterica serovar Albany. RNAcentral describes it as "23S ribosomal RNA". It matches the Rfam family "Bacterial large subunit ribosomal RNA". Lineage: Bacteria; Pseudomonadati; Pseudomonadota; Gammaproteobacteria; Enterobacterales; Enterobacteriaceae. The record is from RNAcentral.
GGUUAAGCGACUAAGCGUACACGGUGGAUGCCCUGGCAGUCAGAGGCGAUGAAGGGCGUGCUAAUCUGCGAUAAGCGCCGGUAAGGUGAUAUGAACCGUUAUAACCGGCGAUACCCGAAUGGGGAAACCCAGUGUGACUCGUCACACUAUCAUUAACUGAAUCCAUAGGUUAAUGAGGCGAACCGGGGGAACUGAAACAUCUAAGUACCCCGAGGAAAAGAAAUCAACCGAGAUUCCCCCAGUAGCGGCGAGCGAACGGGGAGGAGCCCAGAGCCUGAAUCAGCAUGUGUGUUAGUGGAAGCGUCUGGAAAGGCGCGCGAUACAGGGUGACAGCCCCGUACACAAAAGCGCAUGUGCUGUGAGCUCGAUGAGUAGGGCGGGACACGUGGUAUCCUGUCUGAAUAUGGGGGGACCAUCCUCCAAGGCUAAAUACUCCUGACUGACCGAUAGUGAACCAGUACCGUGAGGGAAAGGCGAAAAGAACCCCGGCGAGGGGAGUGAAAAAGAACCUGAAACCGUGUACGUACAAGCAGUGGGAGCCCCACCACUAAGCCAGUGGUGAACUCCACAUACGCAUCCUUUGCUGAGGAUACGGUUAACGGAGCGAAAGCGACGUUCAACCGCAAAAGAAGCAGAGGGGGCUUAGUGGUGGGGUGACUGCGUACCUUUUGUAUAAUGGGUCAGCGACUUAUAUUCUGUAGCAAGGUUAACCGCAUAGGGGAGCCGGAGGGAAACCGAGUCUUAAUUGGGCGUUAAGUUGCAGGGUAUAGACCCGAAACCCGGUGAUCUAGCCAUGGGCAGGUUGAAGGUUGGGUAACACUAACUGGAGGACCGAACCGACUAAUGUUGAAAAAUUAGCGGAUGACCUGUGGCUGGGGGUGAAAGGCCAAUCAAACCGGGAGAUAGCUGGUUCUCCCCGAAAGCUAUUUAGGUAGCGCCUCGUGAAUUCAUCUCCGGGGGUAGAGCACUGUUUCGGCUAGGGGGCCAUCCCGGCUUACCAACCCGAUGCAAACUGCGAAUACCGGAGAAUGUUAUCACGGGAGACACACGGCGGGUGCUAACGUCCGUCGUGAAGAGGGAAACAACCCAGACCGCCAGCUAAGGUCCCAAAGUCAUGGUUAAGUGGGAAACGAUGUGGGAAGGCCCAGACAGCCAGGAUGUUGGCUUAGAAGCAGCCAUCAUUUAAAGAAAGCGUAAUAGCUCACUGGUCGAGUCGGCCUGCGCGGAAGAUGUAACGGGGCUAAACCAUGCACCGAAGCUGCGGCAGCGACGCUGAUGCGUUGUUGGGUAGGGGAGCGUUCUGUAAGCCUGCGAAGGUGGCCUGUGAAGGUUGCUGGAGGUAUCAGAAGUGCGAAUGCUGACAUAAGUAACGAUAAAGCGGGUGAAAAGCCCGCUCGCCGGAAGACCAAGGGUUCCUGUCCAACGUUAAUCGGGGCAGGGUGAGUCGACCCCUAAGGCGAGGCCGAAAGGCGUAGUCGAUGGGAAACGGGUUAAUAUUCCCGUACUUGGUGUUACUGCGAAGGGGGGACGGAGAAGGCUAUGUUGGCCGGGCGACGGUUGUCCCGGUUUAAGCGUGUAGGCUGGUUUUCCAGGCAAAUCCGGAAAAUCAAGGCUGAGGCGUGAUGACGAGGCACUACGGUGCUGAAGCAACAAAUGCCCUGCUUCCAGGAAAAGCCUCUAAGCAUCAGGUAACAUCAAAUCGUACCCCAAACCGACACAGGUGGUCAGGUAGAGAAUACCAAGGCGCUUGAGAGAACUCGGGUGAAGGAACUAGGCAAAAUGGUGCCGUAACUUCGGGAGAAGGCACGCUGACACGUAGGUGAAGUGAUUUACUCAUGGAGCUGAAGUCAGUCGAAGAUACCAGCUGGCUGCAACUGUUUAUUAAAAACACAGCACUGUGCAAACACGAAAGUGGACGUAUACGGUGUGACGCCUGCCCGGUGCCGGAAGGUUAAUUGAUGGGGUCAGCGCAAGCGAAGCUCCUGAUCGAAGCCCCGGUAAACGGCGGCCGUAACUAUAACGGUCCUAAGGUAGCGAAAUUCCUUGUCGGGUAAGUUCCGACCUGCACGAAUGGCGUAAUGAUGGCCAGGCUGUCUCCACCCGAGACUCAGUGAAAUUGAACUCGCUGUGAAGAUGCAGUGUACCCGCGGCAAGACGGAAAGACCCCGUGAACCUUUACUAUAGCUUGACACUGAACAUUGAGCCUUGAUGUGUAGGAUAGGUGGGAGGCUUUGAAGUGUGGACGCCAGUCUGCAUGGAGCCGACCUUGAAAUACCACCCUUUAAUGUUUGAUGUUCUAACGUGGACCCGUAAUCCGGGUUGCGGACAGUGUCUGGUGGGUAGUUUGACUGGGGCGGUCUCCUCCUAAAGAGUAACGGAGGAGCACGAAGGUUGGCUAAUCCUGGUCGGACAUCAGGAGGUUAGUGCAAUGGCAUAAGCCAGCUUGACUGCGAGCGUGACGGCGCGAGCAGGUGCGAAAGCAGGUCAUAGUGAUCCGGUGGUUCUGAAUGGAAGGGCCAUCGCUCAACGGAUAAAAGGUACUCCGGGGAUAACAGGCUGAUACCGCCCAAGAGUUCAUAUCGACGGCGGUGUUUGGCACCUCGAUGUCGGCUCAUCACAUCCUGGGGCUGAAGUAGGUCCCAAGGGUAUGGCUGUUCGCCAUUUAAAGUGGUACGCGAGCUGGGUUUAGAACGUCGUGAGACAGUUCGGUCCCUAUCUGCCGUGGGCGCUGGAGAACUGAGGGGGGCUGCUCCUAGUACGAGAGGACCGGAGUGGACGCAUCACUGGUGUUCGGGUUGUCAUGCCAAUGGCACUGCCCGGUAGCUAAAUGCGGAAGAGAUAAGUGCUGAAAGCAUCUAAGCACGAAACUUGCCCCGAGAUGAGUUCUCCCUGAGACUUAGAGUCUCCUGAAGGAACGUUGAAGACGACGACGUUGAUAGGCCGGGUGUGUAAGCGCAGCGAUGCGUUGAGCUAACCGGUACUAAUGAACCGUGAGGCUUAACCUU